CCGGUGCUGCAUGGCUGUCGUCAGCUCGUGUCGUGAGAUGUUGGGUUAAGUCCCGCAACGAGCGCAACCCUCGCCCUUAGUUGCCAGCAUUCAGUUGGGCACUCUAAGGGGACUGCCGGUGAUAAGCCGAGAGGAAGGUGGGGAUGACGUCAAGUCCUCAUGGCCCUUACGGGCUGGGCUACACACGUGCUACAAUGGUGGUGACAGUGGGCAGCGAAGGAGCGAUCCCGAGCUAAUCUCCAAAAGCCAUCUCAGUUCGGAUUGCACUCUGCAACUCGAGUGCAUGAAGUUGGAAUCGCU
Molecule: ribosomal RNA, 300 nt
Filed under: uncultured Alphaproteobacteria bacterium
Lineage: Bacteria; Pseudomonadati; Pseudomonadota; Alphaproteobacteria
Description: bacterial SSU rRNA
Rfam family: Bacterial small subunit ribosomal RNA
Source: RNAcentral